GGGCUUGUACUGGUUUCGACGGGGGUUUAGAAGUUGAGAAAGCCAUCCGCGGGGCGGGACCGCGUAUCAAUCCGCAAUUAAAUUUAAACGCAGACGAAAAUUUAGCGUACGCUGCCUAGUGGCAGCAGUCGACUUUAGGUCACUCACUGCUUAAAGACUCGGCUUCAAACUUGUGAGGCACUUCGUUUCCAAAGCUUUGAGGAAAUGGAAGAAAUAUGAAGCUACUUAAUCUAUUAGCCUGUCAUUAGGCGAAUAGAGGAGGGAAUGUCAAAAUAAUGACUGUGAUGGGAGAUGUCUUAAUGGAAGAGCUUUCGGACAGGGGUUCGAUUCCCCUCAGGUCCAUCU
RNAcentral lists this transfer-messenger RNA (345 nucleotides) under Lachnospiraceae bacterium OttesenSCG-928-E19. It matches the Rfam family "transfer-messenger RNA". From Rfam's summary of the family: Bacterial tmRNA, also known as 10Sa RNA or SsrA, is named for its dual tRNA and mRNA-like properties. The record is from RNAcentral. Lineage: Bacteria; Bacillati; Bacillota; Clostridia; Lachnospirales; Lachnospiraceae.